GUAUUACGUCUAAGUUCAUUGUAGCAUUGAUUUUGUAAUUAUUUAAGUGACCUCGUUAUUUGUUGGACCGACACCAGGACAUGGGCAGUAGCAGUAGAAGUAGGAGUAGAUAUAACAGGGGCAGUAGCAGUAGGAGUAGAUAUAAUAGAGUUGCCUUUUUGAUUCGUGAAAAUCUGGAUGAGCCCCCAAAGUAAGUUAUUUCCCUUUCCACCUUGCGGAUCGUACAAAUUGAUCAUCUAGCAUAUUAACUUAUGAAACACCCACCGUCCUCAACAUUAAUAACGUGUUCCUUAUAAGUAACUAUAUUCGUUACAACCACCUAAGGAUCCCAAAUGCAUAGUGAUCCCCCAAUAUACGCCUUGCACUACUAGCCACAUAAUCAAACUGAAAUUUUCCCUAAAUAGUAAAUACUCGUUACUUUUACAAGAUCUGAAUGUACCAUACAUGUUUCUUGAAUCCCCACAAUUAUGCUUUCUACACAAUUUCAUGUGUUUAUUCCUCUUGCCAUUAAUCUCGAUCACACAAACAUUUAAAUAAAGAAUAUUUUUUUAUCUACCAUGUUCUCAUUCAAUGAUUUAAACCCUUUUGAGUAUGUCCGGACGUGGGUGAAUGGAAAGAUGAAUUAACCGGCUUAUCUAACAAAUUUUCAACACAAAAAACAUGUUCCUUGACCGUGGGUUGCUUCCGGAACCCCUUGGCAACAAGACCAUCAAAUCGAGCCCCAUAAAAACCACGCCACAUGGUUUGGACAAGGAUUGAGAGGAGCCUCCAUCUUCAUUGGCAUUAUUUCACUUUUCCUUAUCAUUAGUUAUGUCUUUCAUUGUUCGUAGUCAAUCACCCUUAAAACAAUUGUCAUAUUUGUUGAAAAAUAACACAUUAUGGUGGCCUUAGUAUUAUUUUUUAAUACUUACUACAUGUUGGGUACAUUUGUAUUAUGUCCCAUAAUGUUUUUCAUAAUGACAUAUCUAGUCCCCGAACUUAAAUGUUCGUAGGAUGAUGGAUAUGACAAUUGUCCAUAACGUGAAGAUCUAUAUUUGUGUGGUUUCAAAACAAUUUUCCAUAAGGUGUGACUAUGUACACCAUGAUCAUGUGUGUGAAAGGCAUCAACUCUUUCCAUCAUAAAUCAGAAGACACCAUUCCGGGUAGAAAAGAAUCACUACAUGGCAUCAUCCUCAUCAAAGGUUAUACUUCCAAAUAAGUACCUUUCACUCUUAAUGAAACUAUUCGUGAAUCGGAUCCUGAUUAUGUCAACAUAUGGUAUCAAAGUGUGUUUUAAUUAUCUUAAGCUCAACAUCAUAUAGUGCCUACUUAAGUUUCACUGCUUUAUGAAAAUGAUGUUGAUAAAAUGUAAAUUUUUUCACAGAUUUGUAAUCUAUUCAUGUACCUAAAACUGUUUAUUUUCUUCCCUAAUUUCAAACUUUGGUUUUGUUUUAUUAUGAUGCAUCGCGAAAUCAUAGAUCUUGAAACCAUGGGUUUUGGUUUAUAACGACAAAGUAAUUUCCGAUUAAAUUGGCAACAUCAUUUACCUUAAAGAAUUGUGUUUUGUUCAUUUGUUGUUCACUUAUUCACUGUACAUAUGAGAAAAUUGAUAAACUUAUCUCCUUGAAAUUCCUUUUCUGUAAAAAGAUUCUUAGAUAAAUGAAAAGGGCUUAUCCGCUUUGAACGAUAAUGAAUUGUACUCUACAAAGCUCCUGUCUUCCGUUUUCCUUUUCUUUUCUUCUUUCAUUUUUUUUCUCAUGAAUCUGUGUAAUUUUUAAAUGAAGGGAAAAUUUAUUUGGUGAUAAAGAAAUACACUAAUGCCUAAUGAAUAAUAAGCCAACAUUGCUAACUCAUUUGUUUAAUAAUGUUGUUUUUUUUUAUCUCGUGUCAACUUGAAACUAAUUAAUGUGCUACUUUAUUGUGUAAAUUAGUAAAAGGAUGCCCUACUUCUAUUUAAUUCUUAACAUAUGCCUUUAAUUGUUAACAUAUGUCGAAAUAAUUAUUGGUUGUAAAUAAAUAAUGGACAUCCAUUUAUAAUUAUGUUUUCUUGUAUCCGUUGAAAUUUCAUAUUUUAUGUCAUUCUCCUUGUUUAUGGAAUUUGUUGCAUAAGUAUUUUUUUAUAAGACAAAACUGCAUAAAUGGUCCAUGUGGUUAGCUAAAAAUUGUCAUUUUGGUAUAAAAAGGUUUGGAAUUGCACUAGAGGUUCAAACUUUUCAUUUUAUUGCGAGUUUGGUCUAAUUUUCUUUGAUCCUUUUUACAAUGACGAUUUUGCCAUUAUUUUUUACUUAUUUAUUAAUUUAUUAAUUUUUUUUGACUAAAAUAAACAGAAAACAAAGUAGAAAACCAAUUAACCCCACCCUACCCCCCCCUCUUUCUCUNUUCACAAAACCCAUCUCCUUCGCCGCCGCCACCACCACCGGCGAAGAGGAUUCCACUUUCAAACCCCCAAAACCAUGCAUGUUGCAACCCUCAAAAUCCAAGAAUAAUACACCAUCUUCACGCCGCCGCCAGAGAAUCAAAACACUACCUCCAUCUUCCUCAACAAACCCUUUGUCGGAGUUCAAGCGAACAACACUAUCAACAAAUCCUACAUUCGUUUGGGUGUUAUAGAUCUGUAAAGAGGGAGGUCAUGUUGCAAAGAUGGUUUCAAGAUAAAUAGAACAUAAGGGCGUCGAGACUAAGGAAGAUGGCGACGUCGUUGUUUGACGAAAGUAAGCUUACCAGAUCUGAAGUCAGACAAAGAUUUGAAAUCAUGUGAACGACAAAUGUAUCUUAACUUAUGUGAACGACGAAACAUCGGAGAUGUAGAGAAACAAAGGCAGUAGCGAGAUAGGGUUUGCCGUGGAAGAUGGUUGUGUUGUUGGUCCGACAUGAGGUGUUGGUCCGAGGAAGAUGUUGUCGUCUUUGGUGGUUUUCAAAUGUACAUGGUUGUUGUCGGAAAAUCGAUGUUGGUGGUGGUUUUGAAUGUGUGCCGAUUGGAAAUAUAGGGGAUGAGCAUAAGAGACCUAUGAGAAUUUAGAUGUAUUAGGUUUUUAAAGAGAAUAUGAAGAUAUGGGGAAAAAAAGGUGUGACGAAAAGAGAUCGAGAAGGGGAAGGGUGUUUGUGUAAUUGUUUGCAUUUUGUUCCUUUACAUACAAGUGAAAUCAAUUUAAGAGUGAAGGAAUCACAUGAAAUAGAUGUGAUUUCUCCAUGUUCUUGCUUGCUUGAAUAAGUAGGACUCUGAGCAUGGACAUUAAUGUGUCAUGGGGGGGUAUGGAUGGCUAUUUGUGUCGGAAAUCAUUCAUUUCAUGAAUAUUAACUCAUAUGGAGGAAUUAAUCCUGAAUAUGAGGUACGAUCAUUGUUGUUAUCAGUGAAAGGGAGGGUGUUUGUGGAAUUGUUUAGGGCGUUGGUGGUGAUUCCCAUGAAAGAGAGGCCUAAGAUGGGUUUUUUUUUUAAUACAGAUUUAAAUCAAUUAAAAAGAUUGAAAUAAAAUUGUAAGGGUGAAAUCAUCAUUAUAAAAAAAUUCAAAACAAGUUGGACCAAACAUACAACAAAAUAAAAAGUUUCGACUUCUGAUGCUGGUCCAAAUGUUUUUUAGACCAAAGUGCCAAUUUUCAGCUAACCAUACGGAUCAUUCUUGCAAUUUUCUCUUGUUAUUAUUAUGAUGCAACUUGUAAUAUACAUGUCAUCCAUUAACAAAAUUAUUGACCUAACACAUAAAAAAAUGUAUGUAUAAUAUAUAUAUAUAUAUAUNNNNNNNNNNNNNNNUGAAGUAUUUUUUUUCAACAUGAAAAAAAUAAUUUGGCUUGUUAAAAAAAUCUGCCAUCGUCAUACGAGACGCAUAAGAUUGUUUUUUUUUGGUGUGUUCCUAAUGGACGUUAAUUACUAUUUUUUUGCUAUUAUUUAUGGACAAUAUGGUGUUAUCAUAAACUAAUAUCUUAUUAUUUUAAGUCUCGCUUACCAUAUAUAAGGGUUUAAAAUUGUAUGGUUUUUAAUCAUACUUUUCAGGAACUAGAUAAUUUAAUUGGCAUAUGAUAUUAUAAUUAUGAUUUUAUAAGUGUUUAUCAAACUAGCUCAAUAUCUAUAAAAAUGGAUAAACCUUUAAUUUUAAAAUUAUAAAUGAUGAGUGGUAACUUUGAUGUAAUGUUUAAGUGGCUGGACGAAAGAAAGGUUGCUUAAGCUUUACAUUGUAGUUGAUUCAACACCAUAUUAAGCAAUUGUUUGAUUUGUUAUUCAAGGAACCCAAGAGCUAAUUGGAUAACGAUUCAUUAAAUGAAUUUUAAGCAUAACAUACAAAAAUAUUGUAUUUAUGCCCAUAGGUUAUUGCAAUAUUUAUGUAGCGAAGUAUAAUUUUUGGACCCCAUAAUAUUUAAUUGUUGGUAUAGCCAAAGCGAAAGUAACGGUUGAAUAAGGAGUCUUUAGACCUAUUAUUUUGGUGUUAAUAAUAGGUUAUACUGAAAUGCUUUAAUCAUUUUUAAUCCCGUUAGAUCACAUUAUUCUCUUCAUUGCAUAUAUUUAAUUAAGAUACUUGAAUAGCUUUAAAAAGGAAUGGAAAAGCUCAUGUAAUUGAGAAAUAAAAUUGUGUGAAGGUCCUAAAUUCAAAUGAACAUACCAGCAAGCCCAACAAUAAAUUAUUGUGAAUUAUGUCAUAAGAAACGACAUAUUCAACAUAAACCGUCUUAUAUUCAUGAAAUUGCUUGCGAAGAAAUGUAACAUGCAUAUUUUAUGAUUUAGAAGUCCUUUAAUUUUAGUGCCCCUAUAAAUACAUGAUGGAUUGAUUAUGACUCAAUGGUACAUGUGUCUUUUCAUUACACAUAUUUCAUACAAUCGCAAACCUGGAUUCCUCACAACCCUCAACCUUAGCUUCUACCCUCCUAGCAUCCCUAACACUACAAGGUCAUAUGGAACUAUCUUGGCAACCAACAACUGGACCAAAACAAAUAAAGUUACUGCUCGGAUAACAAACCCGACACAUAUCUCUGAAGAUUGAGCGACCGCACGCGAACUUCAUAAACCUAAAUAUUAGGUUUACUUCAAAUAGCUUGUUUUGGCUAAACAAUUAGGCGAAUGAAAAAAUACUAGAGCUUGUUAAUGUUUUCAAGUACCAACUUAGAUGAAAUUAACUCGAUAUCAUCUCAUGAUUGAAUUACAUAAUUAAACUUGUCAAACAUGAUAUUAGAACUUUAUCUUUUAAGAAUUUAUUUUCAAUAUAUUUGCAUUUCAUGUCUUUUACAUUUCAUUUUAUAUAUAAAAAACAAAAAAAUCUCAUUUGACUACAUUGUAUCUUGUGCAAAUAGGCAUUAUCAUUGAUGUUUCUAUAACGAUCGACCGUAAUUGUCUUGUAUUACGUCUAAGUGCACUGUAGCAUUGAUUUUGUACUUAUUUAAGCGACCUCGUUAUUUGUUGGACCGACACCAUGACAUGCGGUUUACCGUUUCAAAGUGUAUUCCUUUUUCAUUUACACCUUACACUUGAAAAAUAUAUAUCGACCAUUUCCUUCAAUAUGUUUAGCGUCAUCGAUUUCUAACAAAAUGACUUAUUUUCGUGCCCUUAUAUCGAAAUUUACUUUAGAUUUGGAAAAAAAAUUAUGUAAUGUUGGUGUCGUAUGAUAACAAUGACUUCGAAUUUUGAGAGUCUGGAAUGCAACUUUUUAACAUUUAUACUAAAAAAAUAACAUCCCGUUCCUGUAUGUUUGUUAUAUUUAAUGGGGUUAACACAAAUAAUUCGUCUUAGACGGAUGUCCUUAUAAUGUAGCCUUUCAAAAAUCCAUUUCGAAUAGGCCAUUUGUAAUCUCGUAAUGUUCAUAGGCUGUUAAGUAGGGUUUAUUUUGAUAUGUUGAUACAUGCCCAUAAUUAUCGAAGAAGAAUUUAAAAAAAGGCAUCGUUUAGAACGAAAUUUCUACACAAGUCAUCAUGUCAACGGUAUGUUUUUAUUCCCUUGUACCUUAGACCUAGUGCGCCUACCAAGGACCAUAAGGUAGACAUUAGGGUUUGGUGUUAAACAUGCUCAUUGCUUAUACAUUUUUGGCGGAUCGGUCCAUAAAUGUUCCAUCGGGUAUGUUGUAGACUAUGAGAUUUUAGGCUUUGUGUUUACUGAGUGUUGCAGUGUGUUCUACAUAAAUUGAAUACUCAGUUAGUUGUAUCAUAUUUUGUAUUAUUAUGUUGUGUGAAGUAUGAUCAUUUUCAAUUACGGAAACACCAAGUUCUAUUACAUAAAAAAGUAAAUCGCAUGACGGGUGUGUGACACUAUGAAAUCCAAAUAAUGAUUCAAUUAAUACAAAGAUAAAUGCUACGAUUUUCGUGGGUGAGGGUCUAUCGGUGGUGGUUUAAUGACCCUCAUCGUUUCCCAUUCAGAGGAGCUGAAGAGGAUGCACUAGCUCUGCACAUGUAAAUAUGUAACGCUGACAUGAAAUGGAAUAAUUGAAACGGUGAUGGUGUGUACCUAUAUGUGUCGGAGUUAUAUCAAUCGUAUAAAAAUAUCCUGUGAUGUAGUGGCCCCAUUUAUGAGAAUUAUAGGAUACCCCACAUUGUAUCUCUACGUGUCAAAGUUUUAUCAAUUUGCAAAAUUUAACAAGGUUUUAUUGGCAUUGCGAGAUGAAGCUUCUAUUUGGCGUUGGUGUUAUGUUUUGGUGGGACAACAUAGACAACAUAUCUUGAAGCUUUCAGAAGUAAGAGGGACGUUGCCGUCAUAUCUUCACAUUAAUUGUCUUUCCGACCCACUGGGAUCCAAAGCUUGUGGGGUACCAGGAUAAUCAUACAAGUUGAUGAUAAGCUGGACCGAAGAAAAAAAACCAUGUGAUGGUUUCGAAGAAUGAAAAUCCCUCAAUGUCGUUAACGUCGUACAUAGUUUUGCAUUUCAUGUCUUUUACAUUUCAUUUUAUAUAUAAAAAAGAAAAAUCCCAUUUGACUACAUUGUAUCUUGUGCGAAAAGGCAUUAUCAUUGAUGUUUCUAUAAGGAUCGACCCUAAUUGUCUUGUAUUAUGUCUAAGUGGAUUGUAGCAUUGAUUUUGUACUUAUUUAAGUGACCUUGUUAUUUAUUGGACUGACACCGUGACAUGCGGUUUACUGUUUCAAACUUUUUUUUUUUUUUUUCAUUUACACCUUACAUUUGAAAAAUAUAUAUAUAUUGACCAUUCCUUCAAUAUGUUUAGCGUCACCGAUUUCCAACAAAAUGACUUAUUUUCGUGCCCUUAUAUCGAAAUUUACUUUAGAUUUGGAAAAAAAUUAAAUUAUGUAAUGUUGGUAUCGGAUGUUAAAAAUGACUUCGAAUUUUGAGAGACUGAAAUACAACUUUUUAACAUUUAUGCUGAAAAAAUAGCAUCUUGUUCCUGUAUCCUUGUUAUAUUUAAUGGGGCUAACACAAAUAAGUCAUUAUAGACGGAUGUCCUUAUAAUGUAGCCUUUCAAAAAUCCAUUUCGAAUAAGCCAUUUGUAAUCCGGUAAUGGUCAUAGGCUGUUAAGUAGGGUUUGUUUUGAUAUGUCGAUACAUCCCAUAAUUAUCGAAGAAGAAUCUAAAAAAAGGCAUCGUUUAGAAAGAAAUUUCUACACAAUUCAUCAUGUCAAUGGUGCGGUUUUUUAUUCCUUUGUACCGUAAACCUAUUGCGCCUACCAAGGACCAUAAGGUAGACAUUAGGGUUUGGUGUUAAACAUGCUCAUUGCUUAUACAUUUUCGGCCGAUCGGUCCAUAAAUGUUCCAUCGGGUAUGUUGUAGUCCAUGAGAUUUUAGGCUUCAUGUUUACCGAGUAUUGUGUUUUGAUCUACAUAAAUUGAAUACUCAGUUAGUUGUAUCAUAUUAUGUAUUAUUAUGAUGUGUGAAGUAUGAUCAUUUUGAAUUACGGAAACACCAAGUUCUGUUACAUAAAAAGUAAAUCGCAUGACGGGCGUGUGACACUAUGAAAUCCAAAUAAUGAUUCAAUUAAAACAAAGAUAAAUGCUAUGAUUUUCGUGGGUGAGGGUCUAUCGUUGGUGGUUUAAUGACCUUCAUCGUUUCCCAUUCAGAGGAAUUGAAGCGGUGAUGGUGUGUACCUCUAUGUGUCGGAGUUAUAUCAAUCGUAUAAAAAUAUCUUGUGAUGUAGUGGCCCCAUUUAUGAGAAUUAUCGGAUACCCCACAUUGUAUCUGUACGUGUCAAAGUUUUAUCGAUUUACAAAAUUUAACAAGGUGGUAUUGGCAUUGCGAGAUGAAGCUUCUAUUUGGCGUUGGUGGGACAACAUAGACAACAUCCCCUGAAGCUUUCAGAAGUAAGAGGGACGUUGCCGUCAUAUCUUCAC
Molecule: long non-coding RNA, 8225 nt
Filed under: Lactuca sativa (garden lettuce)
Lineage: Eukaryota; Viridiplantae; Streptophyta; Magnoliopsida; Asterales; Asteraceae
Description: long non-coding RNA (LSAT_LNC005777)
Source: RNAcentral